RNAcentral lists this transfer RNA (61 nucleotides) under Scolytinae sp. BMNH 1040118. Its description in RNAcentral is "tRNA-Val". Lineage: Eukaryota; Metazoa; Arthropoda; Insecta; Coleoptera; Curculionidae. The record is from RNAcentral.
CGAGCUGAAGCUUUAAGAAGCAUUUUAGUUACAUUAAAAAGAUUAUUUUUAUACAGUUUGA